AAUAAAUUAAAUUGUGAAUCGCUUUGGAUAAAAGCGUCAGCUAAAUGACAUGUA
Gasterosteus aculeatus (three-spined stickleback) is the source of this 54-nucleotide regulatory RNA element. It matches the Rfam family "UnaL2 LINE 3' element". From Rfam's summary of the family: The eel long interspersed element (LINE) UnaL2 and its partner short interspersed element (SINE) share a conserved 3' tail containing a stem-loop that is critical for their retrotransposition. Presumably, the first step of retrotransposition is the recognition of their 3' tails by UnaL2-encoded reverse transcriptase. The record is from Rfam. NCBI's taxonomy places the organism in Eukaryota, Metazoa, Chordata, Actinopteri, Perciformes, Gasterosteidae.